This 468-nucleotide ribosomal RNA is filed under the name uncultured bacterium. Its description in RNAcentral is "partial 16S ribosomal RNA". It matches the Rfam family "Bacterial small subunit ribosomal RNA", at positions 28 to 507 of the family's 1533-position model. The record is from RNAcentral.
GACGAACGCUGGCGGCGUGCUUAAUACAUGCAAGUCGAACGGAAAGGCCCUGCUUUUGUGGGGUGCUCGAGUGGCGAACGGGUGAGUAACACGUGAGUAACCUGCACUUGUCUUUGGGAUAACUUCAGGAAACUGGGGCUAAUACCGGAUAGGAGCUCCUGCUGCAUGGUGGGGGUUGGAAAGUGUCGGCUGUUCGGGAUGGACUCGCGGCUUAUGAGCUUGUUGGUGAGGUAGUGACUUACAAAGGGUUUGACGGGUAGCCGGCCUGAGAGGGUGAACGGCCACAUUGGGACUGCGAUACGGCCCAGACUCCUACGGGAGGCAGCAGUGGGAAAUAUUGCACAAUGGGCGGAAGCCUGAUGCAGCAACGCCGCGUGCGGGAUGACGGGCUUCGGGUUGUAAACCGCUUUCGCCUGUGAUGAAGCGUGAGUGACGGUAAUGGGUAAGGAAGCACCGGCUAACUACGUG